RNAcentral lists this ribosomal RNA (116 nucleotides) under Candidatus Stercorousia faecigallinarum. RNAcentral's name for it is "partial 16S ribosomal RNA". It matches the Rfam family "Bacterial small subunit ribosomal RNA", at positions 1 to 115 of the family's 1533-position model. The record is from RNAcentral. Lineage: Bacteria; Bacillati; Candidatus Melainabacteria; Candidatus Gastranaerophilales; Candidatus Gastranaerophilaceae.
ACAAUGGAGAGUUUGAUCCUGGCUCAGGACGAACGCUGGCGGCGUGCUUCAUACAUGCAAGUCGAACGAGAAUCUCUAGCUUGCUAGAGAGGACAGUGGCGGACGGGUGAGUAAUG